AUGGCUACAGGGAGCAGUAGUAGCACUAAGGGGUAUGGGGAAGAGGUUGAGGAAUUGCUCAAUCGACUCGAUCUGCAUGAAGACGAUGGAGAUGACUUCGUCUGGGAAGAGGUGCCAGAAUUGCAAGGAGUUCAGGCGAAGUGGCUGGCUAUCGCGAAGGUGCACACAAAUAAGGGAUUUAGCCCUUCGGCCCUAUAUUCCGACAUGAGAUCUGCCUGGAAUCCAGCGAAGGCUGUUCGCUGGCGCUUGAUUGAUAGCAAUCUGUUCACUGUGCAAUUCGGUUGUUUGGGUGACUGGAAUACUGCAAUGAUGAAUGGACCUUGGUUAUUCAGGAACCAAGCUGUUAUGAUGAUGGAAUAUGACGGGUUUACAAAUCCUGGAUCGAUAGUCUUGGACAAAGUGGCGGUUUGGGCGAGAAUUCUAAGGUUGCCUCACAACUACCUGAAUGAGGUCGUGAUAAAAGGAAUGUGCAGGAAGAUAGGGCAAAUUCUAGAAGUGCAGACCCAGUUGCCAGCAGGCUAUGUGGGUGCUUUUGUCAGGGUUAAAGUGAACUUGGAUGUGGAAAAAAAAGCUAGAGUGCUUUGUGUCAAUCACAAAAGGAGGAACAAAGGACUGGUAUCAGGUCAAGUAUGA
RNAcentral lists this ribosomal RNA (633 nucleotides) under Triticum aestivum (bread wheat). RNAcentral's name for it is "partial small subunit ribosomal RNA". The record is from RNAcentral. Lineage: Eukaryota; Viridiplantae; Streptophyta; Magnoliopsida; Poales; Poaceae.